This 443-nucleotide ribosomal RNA is filed under the name uncultured bacterium. Its description in RNAcentral is "partial 16S ribosomal RNA". It matches the Rfam family "Bacterial small subunit ribosomal RNA", at positions 338 to 795 of the family's 1533-position model. The record is from RNAcentral.
CCUACGGGAGGCAGCAGUGGGGAAUAUUGGACAAUGGGGGGAACCCUGAUCCAGCGACGCCGCGUGAGUGAAGAAGUCUUUCGGUAUGUAAAGCUCGAUCAGCAGGGAAGAAAGAAAUGACGGUACCUGACUAAGAAGCGCCGGCUAACUACGUGCCAGCAGCCGCGGUAAUACGUAGGGGGCAAGCGUUAUCCGGAUUUACUGGGUGUAAAGGGGUCGUAGGCGGCGAUGCAAGUCUGAAGUGAAAGGCGGGGGCCCAACCCCUGGACUGCUUUGGAAACUGUCUGGCUGGGGUGCAGGAGAGGUAAGUGGAAUUCCUGGUGUAGCGGUGGAAUGCGUAGAUAUUAGGAGGAACAUCAGGGGCGAAGGCGACUUACUGGACUGUAACUGACACUGAGGCACGAAAGCGUGGGGAGCAAACAGGAUUAGAUACCCGGGUAGUC